CAGGGAAUAUUAGUAAUGGGCGAAAGCCUGAACUAGCAACGCCGCGUGUGCGAAGAAGGCCUUCGGGUUGUAAAGCACUUUUUGAGAGGAUGAGGAAGGACGGUACUCUCAGAAUAAGUCUCGGCUAACUACGUGCCAGCAGCCGCGGUAACACGUAGGAGGCGAACGUUAUCCGGAUUUACUGGGCGUAAAGCGCGUGUAGGUGGUUUGGUAAGUAGGGCGUGGAAGCUCCUGGCUCAACUGGGAGAGGCCGUUCUAAACUGCCGAACUAGAGGAUGGUAGAGGGAGGUGGAAUUCCGGGUGUAGCGGUGGAAUGCGCAGAUAUCCGGAGGAACACCAGUGGCGAAAGCGGCCUCCUGGACCAUUCCUGACACUCAGACGCGAAAGCUAAGGUAGCAAACGG
RNAcentral lists this ribosomal RNA (403 nucleotides) under uncultured bacterium. RNAcentral describes it as "bacterial SSU rRNA". It matches the Rfam family "Bacterial small subunit ribosomal RNA", at positions 355 to 775 of the family's 1533-position model. The record is from RNAcentral.